RNAcentral lists this long non-coding RNA (2080 nucleotides) under Mus musculus (house mouse). RNAcentral's name for it is "long non-coding RNA chr15:84704328-84706408". The record is from RNAcentral. Lineage: Eukaryota; Metazoa; Chordata; Mammalia; Rodentia; Muridae.
GGUGGCCCGCUCGAGCUUCAGUGUUCCCUCUAAGAGCACAUGGUCACCUCACAGGGUGUCUUAGGGUUACUGUGCUGUGAUAAGGAAGUCAAGGCAAGAGCUUGGAGGCAGGAGCUGAUGCAGAGGCUGUGGGAUUGCUGCUUGUUCUCCAUGGCUUGUUCAGCCUGUUCCCUUUGUCUUGUUCUGAAACAGGGUCUCUCAACAUAGCCUGGCUGUUCUGGAACUCACUACGUAUACUACGUAUACUAGGCUGGCCUCUGGCAACUCAUGGAGAUCUGCCUGCCUUGCCUCCUGAGUGCUAGCUAGGAUUAGAGGCCUGUCCCACCACACCAGGUCCAGCCUGUGUUCUUAUAAAACCCAGGACCACGAGCCCAGGGUUGACCCUACCCACAAUGGGCUUGGCCCUCACACAUCACACACCAAUUAAGAAAAUGCCCUACAGGCCUGUCUGCAGCUCUAGCUUAUGAAACACUUUGUCAAUUGAGGUUCCCUCAUCUCGGAUGACUCUAGCCCGUGUCAAGCUGACAUAAAACUGGGCAGCACGCAAGUGCUCCCCCAGGCUCGAGACACGCAGGGCAUCAGGCAGGAACCUGAAUCUGGAGAGAAAGCUCAAGUUCCUAGCUGGAAACUAGCAGCAUCGAUGGAGGCUCUCAGGAAAGCAAGAUAGGCCUGGGACCUGGCUUAGCUCUGCCACCCUGCCUCCCUCAACACCAUCAAAGUCAUUGUUAAACCUCACUACUCUGGAACCCCUCUGAGAGGUAGAAAUUGGAAUUAUGGGUAGAGAGUUCCGCUGCGUCGGCAGUUCUACUGUAAGCAGAAUGAAGUAUCUCGUUGCUACUUCAUAACUAUAAUUCUGAUACCGUUAUGAAUCAUAAUGGAAAUAGUCGAUAUACAGGAUAUCUGAUAUGUGACCCCUGUGAAAGGGUCACUGGGCCUCCAAAGGAGGUCAUGCCCCACAGGUUGAGAAACGACAGAGGAACAGAAUUGACAGAAUAUAUAUAAGAGGUAGGCGCUAAUGUCAGAGAAGGAAUGGUCUUGCCAGCGAGAGUAAAGAAGGUAAGCAGGCAAAGAGAGCAAGCUUCCUUCGUCCUGUCCCGUAUAUAGGCUGCUACCAGAAGGUGUGGCCCAGGUUAAAGGUGGUUCGUCCCACUUUAAAAGAUCCAGACUAAAAGUGGGUCUUCUCAUUUCAAGUGAUUUAAUUAAAAAAGGAAAAUAAAAUCCCUCACGAUUGUACACAGCAGUUGGGUUUUAGUUAACUUUAGUUAUAGUCAAAUUGACAACCAAAAAUAGCUGUCACACCAGGUGUACAGAGACAGGUGCACCAGGAUGUGACAUGCAAAUAUGUUGCUAGGGUGCCCCACCCACUCCUUGAAAGAGCCCUAAACCAGGCAGGUUCCUGAUUUGUGAACCUAUACCAACCGGCCUUGUGCUGGCUGAAAUGAGUUGUUUCAUGGUUUGUAGCCUCUCCUCCCCACUCCCUUUCCAGGCAGCUCCAUCUUUGUCCACUGAAACUCCCAGUGCCUGCCCUGUGUCCUAUUAGUUCCUAGGUCAGCACAGGGCAUGGGAUGCCCAGUGUGUGUGUUGGGGGGUGAGGGGCUCCCAGUGUCCUAGGCUGAUUCCAUGGUUUCUGUGGGCCCACCUUCCUCUGCAGACCUGCAAUGUGUGUUUCUGCCACCGGUGGGGUUGGGAGGCAGGUGUCACAAUUGACUGAUCAGAGAUUCCAGCACACAAGCAAAACAUACAAGAAGCCCACGCACUGCCCACUGUCAUGGGAAGGGACACCAGGCCCUAUCUAUUGGUCAUUGACUCUGAGCCCUAAUCCACUCUCCUUUGUGUGUAUGAGGUAGGGGUGGGGAUAUAGGGAACCCACAGGAAACAGCUGUUAGGAAUUUUUAUUUUUUUGUAAUGUUGAGUGGGGUAUGAUGGGUACGCUCGCCUUUAAUCCCAGUGCUUGAGAGACCAAGGCAGGUGGAUCUCUGUGAGUUCAAGGACAGCCUGAUCUACAUAGCCAGUUCUAAGCCAGCUCUAGUGACAUGACGAAACAAUGACCCAAAACAAUAAAAUGACAUUGGAAACAUGU